GAUGAACGCUGGCGGCGUGCCUAAUACAUGCAAGUCGAGCGAACAGACGAGGAGCUUGCUCCUCUGACGUUAGCGGCGGACGGGUGAGUAACACGUGGAUAACCUACCUAUAAGACUGGGAUAACUUCGGGAAACCGGAGCUAAUACCGGAUAAUAUAUUGAACCGCAUGGUUCAAUAGUGUAAGACGGUUUUGCUGUCACUUAUAGAUGGAUCCGCGCCGCAUUAGCUAGUUGGUAAGGUAACGGCUUACCAAGGCAACGAUGCGUAACCGACCUGAGAGGGUGAUCGGCCACACUGGAACUGAGACACGGUCCAGACUCCUACGGGAGGCAGCAGUAGGGAAUCUUCCGCAAUGGGCGAAAGCCUGACGGAGCAACGCCGCGUGAGUGAUGAAGGUCUUCGGAUCGUAAAACUCUGUUAUUAGGGAAGAACAAAUGUGUAAGUAACUAUGCACGUCUUGACGGUACCUAAUCAGAAAGCCACGGCUAACUACGUG
RNAcentral lists this ribosomal RNA (497 nucleotides) under uncultured bacterium. Its description in RNAcentral is "partial 16S ribosomal RNA". It matches the Rfam family "Bacterial small subunit ribosomal RNA", at positions 28 to 507 of the family's 1533-position model. The record is from RNAcentral.